This is a non-coding RNA of Maylandia zebra (zebra mbuna), 225 nucleotides long. The record is from RefSeq and is a predicted model, not a curated record. NCBI's taxonomy places the organism in Eukaryota, Metazoa, Chordata, Actinopteri, Cichliformes, Cichlidae.
CUGUAUCGUUUAUGAGACACAGCGCGUCAGCAUUUGGAUUCGCCUUUGAUGCCACGCUGGAUGUCAUGUCAUCAGCCAUCGUCCUGUGGCGCUACAGCAAUGCAGCAGCUGUGCACUCUGCACACAGAGAGUAUAUAGCAUGUGUCGUCCUUGGGGUUGUGUUCGUUCUCUCCUCUAUUUGUAUUCUUGGAAAGGCCAUCCACGAUCUGGCUACCAGGAUGCCCC